This 495-nucleotide ribosomal RNA is filed under the name uncultured bacterium. Its description in RNAcentral is "partial 16S ribosomal RNA". It matches the Rfam family "Bacterial small subunit ribosomal RNA", at positions 28 to 507 of the family's 1533-position model. The record is from RNAcentral.
GACGAACGCUGGCGGCGUGCCUAAUACAUGCAAGUAGAACGCUCAAGGUGGAGCUUGCCUUUCUGGAUGAGUUGCGAACGGGUGCGUAACGCGUAGGUAACCUGCCUUGUAGCGGGGGAUAACGAUUGGAAACGAUAGCUAAUACCGCAUAACAGUGCAUGUUGCAUGACAUUUGCUUAAAAGGUACAAUUGGACCACUACCAAUUGGUCCUGCGUUGUAUUAGCUAGUAGGUGGGGUAACGGCUCACCAAGGCGACGAUACAUAGCCGACCUGAGAGGGUGAUCGGCCACACUGGGACUGAGACACGGCCCAGACUCCUACGGGAGGCAGCAGUAGGGAAUCUUCGGCAAUGGACGGAAGUCUGACCGAGCAACGCCGCGGGAGUGAAGAAGGUUGUCGGAUCGUAAAGCUCGGUUGUAAGAGAAGAACGAGUGUGAGAGUGGAAAGUUCACACUGUGACGGUAGCUUACCAGAAAGGGACGGCUAACUACGUG